RNAcentral lists this long non-coding RNA (904 nucleotides) under Jatropha curcas. RNAcentral describes it as "long non-coding RNA (JCUR_LNC000704)". Lineage: Eukaryota; Viridiplantae; Streptophyta; Magnoliopsida; Malpighiales; Euphorbiaceae. The record is from RNAcentral.
CUGGGCAACAGGCGUCCUUAGCACUACCACCAAUCCCAAUAUGCACUAAACCACCUAACACAUCAACACAUGCUCCUAGCUUUAGAGCAUCAAUAGGGCAAGUCUCUUGCUUUGGGGGUGGAGGUGGGCAUGGCACUGGAGGUGGCGGAGGAGGGCAUGGUGUUUCAGUUGGCGGUGGCUUCACAACAGGAGGCUUUGGUGGUAGAGUUGGCGGUGCUGGUGUUACCGGCGGCGUAGGAUAAUACGGUGGUGUAGGGGUAACAGGAGGCUUUGGUGGUAGAGUCGGAGGCUUGAUCACCGGUGGUUUUGGUGUCGGUGUUACCGGAGGGGUAGGAUAAGGCGGCGGAGUUGGGGUAACAGGAGGCUUUGGUGGUAAAGUUGGUGGGGAAAUGAUUGGUGGUUUGGGUACAUAAGGUGGUGGCUUUACAGUAGGAGGCUUUGGUGGUAAAGUUGGUGGGGAAAUGAUUGGUGGUUUGGGUACAUAAGGUGGUGGCUUUACAGUAGGAGGUUUUGGUAUAUGGGGUGGAUAUACAAUUGGAGGCUUGACAACCGGUGGUUUGGGUACGGUUGGUGGUUUGACAACGGGUGGUUUGGGUACAUAAGGUGGCGGCUUUACAGUAGGAGGUUUUGGUACAUGGGGUGGAUAUACAAUUGGAGGCUUGACAACCGGUGGUUUUGGUACGGUUGGUGGUUUGACAACGGGUGGUUUGGGAACCACCGGAGGUUUGGGUGGCUUAGGUGGGUAGUGUUUGGGAGGUUUAUGGUGAGAGGGUGGCUUUACCUUAGGAGGGUGUUUGGGUGGGAACUUAGGAGGAUGCUUCGGUGAAGGUGGAGUUGGGUAAGGACAGUAAGGGCAAGCAAGAGAAGGGAUCAAAGAGCCUAAGUUGAGAAGGAGAAACAAGAG